GACGGACGCUGGCGGCGUGCUUAACACAUGCAAGUCGAACGCUGAAGCUUGGUGCUUGCACUGGGUGGAUGAGUGGCGAACGGGUGAGUAAUACGUGAGUAACCUGCCCUUGACUCUGGGAUAAGCCUGGGAAACUGGGUCUAAUACUGGAUACGACAUGUCACCGCAUGGUGGUGUGUGGAAAGGGUUUUACUGGUUUUGGAUGGGCUCACGGCCUAUCAGCUUGUUGGUGGGGUAAUGGCUCACCAAGGCGACGACGGGUAGCCGGCCUGAGAGGGUGACCGGCCACACUGGGACUGAGACACGGCCCAGACUCCUACGGGAGGCAGCAGUGGGGAAUAUUGCACAAUGGGCGGAAGCCUGAUGCAGCGACGCCGCGUGAGGGAUGACGGCCUUCGGGUUGUAAACCUCUUUCAGCACGGAAGAAGCGAAAGUGACGGUACGUGCAGAAGAAGCGCCGGCUAACUACGUG
RNAcentral lists this ribosomal RNA (472 nucleotides) under uncultured bacterium. RNAcentral's name for it is "partial 16S ribosomal RNA". It matches the Rfam family "Bacterial small subunit ribosomal RNA", at positions 28 to 507 of the family's 1533-position model. The record is from RNAcentral.